UCUUACUCUCAUCACUCUGUUCAUCACUCUCGGGGCUUCUGGAAACAAAUGGACUAUGAAAUACAGCAAAGAGACAAUAUGUGCUUUAAAAGGGUCCACUGUGUUUAAGAAUGGCUCUUAUACACACCCAGACCAUCUUACAGUGACAGAAGCCUUUUGGUAUAUAGACCCAGUUAAGAGGAUGAACACCAUUACUGCUACAGAAUCCAAACACGCACAGAGAAAUGGGUGGGUAUUCCUGGAAUACAGCUGAAAUUUACAGGUACGUUUAAUCACCACAUUAUCCUGCUAACAACACAAGCUAUCAUGUCACUUUAAUCUUCAUGGUAUCAUAGUGAUUUAUAGUGACAUAUUCAUGUAGCUCCAUCAGAGGUUUUAUUCCACUGCAACAUCAGGGUUUUUCAGCUCCUGUCCUGGUCUAGAGCUGCACUGCUGGUGUUUUCUCUGCUUUGACACAUCUGAUGAUCUCUUUGACUUGGACCUCCAUGUAGACACCUCUCAAGCAGUAAUAGAGGGACACACCACUGUUCUGAUAUGUACAACCACCUGCAGUCUGACAGUCCAACAUUCAUCUGGUACAAAAAUGGACAUCCUUUAUCCUCCAGUACA
This is a non-coding RNA of Electrophorus electricus (electric eel), 609 nucleotides long. NCBI's taxonomy places the organism in Eukaryota, Metazoa, Chordata, Actinopteri, Gymnotiformes, Gymnotidae. The record is from RefSeq and is a predicted model, not a curated record.